RNA transcript from Harpia harpyja (harpy eagle), 2766 nucleotides. It is a transcript of the gene named PAK1 interacting protein 1, with no coding region annotated. The record is from RefSeq and is a predicted model, not a curated record. Lineage: Eukaryota; Metazoa; Chordata; Aves; Accipitriformes; Accipitridae. The transcript is spliced from 12 exons.
GCAGGCUCCCUCCCGGGGGAGCGCUACCGGUCUCCAACCGAAGGCCCAACCCGGCGCGGCGUGCUACGGCGCGGGCGCAGGCAGCGCGGCGGACGGACGGACGGACGGACGGCGGCCCAGGGCGGCAGGGCCCCGAGGUGCCGCCGUGCGUGGCGGGGCGGAUGGAGCUGGUAGCGGGCUGCUACGAGCAGGUCCUCUUCGGGUUCGCCGCGCGGCCCGCUGAGUCCUGGACGGUUGUCCCUGUUUUUACCCAUCAUGCCCACUCUGCCUCAUUGUCAGCGGUAGCAGUGAAUAACAGAUACGUGGUCACUGGGAGCAGAGAUGAGACAAUCCAAAUCUUUGACAUGAAAAAGAAGAUAGAACAUGGGGCACUGCUGCAGCACAAUGGCACAAUAACUUGUUUGGAGUUCUAUGGUACUGCGCAUCUACUGAGUGGGGCUGAAGAUGGACUAAUUUGUAUCUGGAACACAAAGAGAUGGGAAUGUCUGAAAUCUAUUAAGGCACAUAAGGGGCACGUGACAUCUCUUUCUAUUCAUCCUUCUGGGAAGUUAGCUUUGUCGGUAGGAACAGAUAAAACAUUAAGAACUUGGAAUCUUGUAGAAGGACGAUCAGCCUUUAUCAAAAACCUGAAGCAAAAUGCCCACAUAAUUAAAUGGUCCCCUGAUGGAGAGAGGUAUGUGACCGUGAUAACAAAUAAAGUGGAUAUCUACAAACUUGACACAGCUUCAAUCACUGGCACUAUCACAACAGAGAAGAGGAUUUCCUCACUUAGAUUUAUUACAGAUUCUAUCCUUGCCAUAGCUGGAGAUGAUGAAAUUAUAAGGUUCUACAGCUGUGACUCUCAAAAAUGCCUGUGUGAAUUUAAAGCUCAUGAAAACAGAAUAAAAGAUAUCUAUAGUUUUGAAAGAGAAGGACAACAUGUUAUUGUUACUGCAUCCAGUGAUGGUUACAUUAAAAUGUGGAAUCUGGAUCUUAAUAAGAUUAAAGAUGUGCCGUCUUUACUGUGUGAAGUCAAUACGAAAGCUAGGCUGACAUGUCUCGCAGUAUGGCUUGACCAAGCUUCAGAAAUGAAAGAAAAUUCUGAUAAAGCUGCAACAUUAUCUCAAGCAAAUGAAGAUGAAAAAUCAUCAAUAGUCAGGAAAAACAAAGUUCGUAGGACUGAUAAAAGUGAUAAAACAGCCAAAAAAAAGAGAGAAAUUACUCCAGAGAAGCAAAAAUUGGAAGCUCCACUGCAAAAGAAGAAAAAGAAACAGAAUAGCUCAUCGUGAAGGCAGCUACUUUCUCCCCUGAAUAAAAACAAAAGAAAAGCUAGAGAAAAUCAGAAAAAAGAUUGAAGCAAAUCUGGAGACAGGAAUGCAGGCUGUCUUAGGGAUGUAAAAUAGGGUAUCACUUCAGCUCAUCUCUCUGUAUGCUCUGACACUGAGACAAAGUGAGCAUCAUCAGUGCUGUUACGAGAUUGUUCAUGUGGCAAUGGCAGUAUUCUCUUGGAGCACAUUUUCCAUUCCAGUUUUCAGGGAACUGCUUAGAAUGAUAGAGGGGAGGCAGCAGUGCAGAGAGGGAGGAUAUGUCAGCGGUGAGAAAGCUCUUCCUGUGUCAGAAAGGGUGAGUGUGUGUGACACCGGUAGAGUAGAUGGAGCCAUGGCUGCAAGAAACAACAGCCUAGUGAGCAGCAUCCCAGCCGAGCCCCAGGUGAGUUCAGCAGCUCCUGCAGCUGUGGAUUUCUUCCAGUUUUCCUGCUUCCCCUCUUGGGGAACCCCAGUGCUGGAUUACAAAGCAGAGGCCAGUGAAACUUGAACCUCAUAGCCAUUACACAGCUUGAACAGAAAAGGGAACCCCAUCCAGUAUAGCUUAGAUCUGUGUUGGUUGUGGUACUUUACAUGGAGAUGGGAGAUCUCUAUUUAAACCACUUAGGCCCACAAGGGAAUUAAACUGCUCUCCACUUUCUGACCAUUAGGCUAAUUCAUAGAGAUGGGAAUAUUUGAAAUGCAGCUAGAGAAAGCUGCAUUUUGCAGAAAGCGCAGACCUCUGAUGUUUUGUGCCUUCUGUUAUGAAGAGGAACUGAAGCCCCUCAGGGACCUGGCUGGAGGAGUGCUUGUUCUUUCUGUAUGAUUAAAUGUCCGUGGGAGGUAAGUGCAUAGACAACUGGAACAAAUCAUGCAGCACCAUUUAUGUGAAGAAAAACAGUUUCAGCACUUGAAAAGAGUUUACCUUUGUAGACAGUUAUAAGCAUCUCUCCACAUUUUUUCGAUUAACAAAAAUGCAAAACAUUUUCUUUACAAGAUGUUUUCCAUCUCCCACUGUGGUGUAACUUCUACAGCAGAAGACUCCUGUUUCUGUUGCACUAGCUGUGCUUGUAAUUUGAAGAUUAUAGAAAUCCUCUACAUCUUCCAUAAAAGGGCUAUACUGAAAUUACUGAUCAAAGCUAGAAGCAGCCUGUAGGCUGCCCAGAGUUGUAGCUCAUGCCACAACAACCAACCACCCCAAAUUCUCAGCUGUACCACAUACCCCCACUUCUGCAACACGACGAGGAUGGAUUGGGUGCACACGAAUGCAGUUGUGAGUGAGCUUUGCCCCUCACUGAACAAGCACGCAAAACCUCGUCUGCACUGAAGUCUCCCCUCAUUUGUAGGCACCCGGGCUUGCUCGGGCAUCCUCGAUACCCCCCGCCAGGGCCCGGGGGAGUUACCGGCAGCUCUGGAGGUAGCUGGGAAGGCACCAACCCGGUUUUUUUUUUUUUUUGUUUGUUUUUUUCCGGGACGCACCCUA